AAGAACCCUUUGGUUUCUGUGAGGAUCAAAGCACCUGUGGGAGGAGGAGGGGUCAAGUUUGAUCAGGAACAGAAGAUGAGGCACCAGAUGGCAGAAGCAAGCAAACUACAUCAACAAGACAGCUAAGAAGAAAAAGCCACAAUACAGCAUCAAGGAGCAGCAAAUAUCCAGCCCAGCACUGCUUGUGAAUAGGACUUCACUGAGACUUCAGCAUCAUUGAUUUCUAAGCAUCUGGCUGUGGGAGGAGUCAUGACAUCUGUACACCUGCCAG
Terrapene triunguis (Three-toed box turtle) is the source of this 271-nucleotide long non-coding RNA. RefSeq lists it as uncharacterized. NCBI's taxonomy places the organism in Eukaryota, Metazoa, Chordata, Testudines, Emydidae. The record is from RefSeq and is a predicted model, not a curated record. The transcript is spliced from 3 exons.